CAGCCGCCGCGGUAAUACAGAGGAUGCGAGCGUUAAUCGGAUUUACUGGGCGUAAAGCGUGCGUAGGCGGCUUUUUAAGUCGGAUGUGAAAUCCCUGAGCUUAACUUAGGAAUUGCAUUCGAUACUGGGAAGCUAGAGUAUGGGAGAAGAUGGUAGAAUUCCAGGUGUAGCGGUGAAAUGCGUAGAGAUCUGGAGGAAUACCGAUGGCGAAGGCAGCCAUCUGGCCUAAUACUGACGCUGAGGUACGAAAGCAUGGGGAGCAAACAGGAUUAGAUACCCCUGUAGUCCCUGUCUCUUAUAC
RNAcentral lists this ribosomal RNA (301 nucleotides) under uncultured bacterium. RNAcentral's name for it is "partial 16S ribosomal RNA". It matches the Rfam family "Bacterial small subunit ribosomal RNA", at positions 509 to 807 of the family's 1533-position model. The record is from RNAcentral.